Molecule: unclassified non-coding RNA, 1079 nt
Filed under: Hevea brasiliensis (rubber tree)
Lineage: Eukaryota; Viridiplantae; Streptophyta; Magnoliopsida; Malpighiales; Euphorbiaceae
Rfam family: mir-399 microRNA precursor family (bases 182-301)
Source: RNAcentral
UUGUAGUCCAUUCUUCAUUAGGAAUUCAGUCUAAAAUUUAAAGAAGUGAGUUCAACUUUAGGGAAUAAAGUGAAGGAAAAGCCUUCAACUCCAAAAUGAAGGCAUUGUCCUGCAGUAUAUGCUUCCUCUAGGAUGGCAUAAAUAACAAGCGUCAAGGCUAUGAUUCUGUGACUUGAGGUGCAGUUGCAUUACAGGGUAAAACCUCCAUUGGCAUGCAGCCACACUGAGAUUUGAUAUCUAUGUUGUGCAUUCUUAUAGUGUGCUGUUCCAUGCCAAAGGAGAUUUGCCCGGCAAUACUUCUGCAGUUUGGUUGGCUUGUCAGAGUGGAAAUGUCGUCUUCAGUUGCUCUUUAUGGUGCUAUCACUUAUGUUUAUGAAAACUGGGAUUGAUUUCACUGCAUGAUUCUGUCAAUACAGUUUUUCCUUUCUGUCUAAGAUUGGCAAAUAUUUCUUAUAAUGUUGCAUGCACAACGUUUUAGUUUGGUAUAUCUGCAUCUUCUAAGAAAAUUAUAUAUGCAGAAGCAUCUAUGAAAAUGCAUAACUACAGAUAACACUGCAAGCACUUAUCACAAUCAAAUUACACACUGUGACAAUUUUUUGCAUCUAUGCUAUGCAAUAACUUCACCCGAUUCAAGAUGUGAAUGGUAAUUAACCUUUCUAGAAUCCCCAAAACUUUUUUUUGUCUCUGUUCGUCUAUAUUUUUUUAAAAUUAUUAGCAUUAAAUUGUUUGUUUUUACCUAGCCUUGAAUGAGCAACUGAAAACAUUUAUGCUGCUGUUCUCCAUAUUUUUUUCUUGCAGAAGUAGGAAAGGUAUAUGUCCGCAAGCUCUCUGUUUUGCAAGGGAUGGGGAAGAUCAUUGCACGCAAGAAAUUAUUCUAUGCCAUGUAACCUCUGGCAAUUUGCAUUAGCUACGUGUUGAUAGACUUGGUGAAAGCAAGAAAUUCAGUCUGCAAUUUUUCAUUGAUUCCGAAGGUCGCUUAACUAAAUGCAAUUUUAUGAUAUGCAUCCAAAUAUCUCCCCGUAGUUAACUAAAUCCCAAUAAUGCCCAUUGAAUGAAUACUGUGUAGUCAUUAAAUUGAG